RNAcentral lists this ribosomal RNA (467 nucleotides) under uncultured bacterium. RNAcentral describes it as "partial 16S ribosomal RNA". It matches the Rfam family "Bacterial small subunit ribosomal RNA", at positions 28 to 507 of the family's 1533-position model. The record is from RNAcentral.
GACGAACGCUGGCGGCGUGCUUAACACAUGCAAGUCGAACGGAAAGGCCUCUUUCGGGGGGUACUCGAGUGGCGAACGGGUGAGUAACACGUGAGUAACCUGCCCUUGACUUUGGGAUAACUUCAGGAAACUGGGGCUAAUACCGGAUAGGAGCUCCUGCUGCAUGGUGGGGGUUGGAAAGUUUCGGCGGUUGGGGAUGGACUCGCGGCUUAUCAGCUUGUUGGUGGGGUAGUGGCUUACCAAGGCUUUGACGGGUAGCCGGCCUGAGAGGGUGACCGGCCACAUUGGGACUGAGAUACGGCCCAGACUCCUACGGGAGGCAGCAGUGGGGAAUAUUGCACAAUGGGUGGAAGCCUGAAGCAGCAACGCCGUGGGCGGGAUGACGGCCUUCGGGUUGUAAACCGCUUUCGCUCAUGACGAAGCUUUGUGUGACGGUAGUGGGUAAAGAAGCACCGGCUAACUACGUG